RNAcentral lists this ribosomal RNA (437 nucleotides) under uncultured Oscillospiraceae bacterium. Its description in RNAcentral is "bacterial SSU rRNA". It matches the Rfam family "Bacterial small subunit ribosomal RNA", at positions 341 to 792 of the family's 1533-position model. The record is from RNAcentral. Lineage: Bacteria; Bacillati; Bacillota; Clostridia; Eubacteriales; Oscillospiraceae.
ACGGGAGGCAGCAGUGGGGAAUAUUGGGCAAUGGGCGAAAGCCUGACCCAGCAACGCCGCGUGAAGGAAGAAGGCCUUCGGGUUGUAAACUUCUUUUGUUAGGGACGAAGGACGUGACGGUACCUGACGAAUAAGCAACGGCUAACUACGUGCCAGCAGCCGCGGUAAUACGUAGGUUGCAAGCGUUGUCCGGAUUUACUGGGUGUAAAGGGCGUGUAGGCGGAUCUGCAAGUCAGAUGUGAAAUCCCGGGGCUCAACGCGGGAACUGCAUUUGAAACUGUAGACCUUGAGUAUCGGAGAGGCAAGCGGAAUUCCUAGUGUAGCGGUGAAAUGCGUAGAGAUUAGGAGGAACACCAGUGGCGAAGGCGGCUUGCUGGACGGCAACUGACGCUGAGGAGCGAAAGCGGGGGGAGCAAACAGGAUUAGAUACCCUGGUA